CACGUAGGGGGCAAGCGUUGUCCGGAUUUAUUGGGCGUAAAGAGCUCGUAGGCGGCUCAGUAAGUCGGGUGUGAAACCUCCAGGCUCAACCUGGAGACGCCACCUGAUACUGCUGUGGCUAGAGUCCGGUAGGGGAGCGUGGAAUUCCUGGUGUAGCGGUGAAAUGCGCAGAUAUCAGGAGGAACACCGGUGGCGAAGGCGGGACUCUGGGCCGAUACUGACGCUGAGGAGCGAAAGCGUGGGGAGCAAACAGG
Molecule: ribosomal RNA, 254 nt
Filed under: uncultured bacterium
Lineage: Bacteria
Description: partial 16S ribosomal RNA
Rfam family: Bacterial small subunit ribosomal RNA
Source: RNAcentral